This 492-nucleotide ribosomal RNA is filed under the name uncultured bacterium. Its description in RNAcentral is "partial 16S ribosomal RNA". It matches the Rfam family "Bacterial small subunit ribosomal RNA", at positions 29 to 507 of the family's 1533-position model. The record is from RNAcentral.
AGUGAACGCUGGCGGUAGGCCUAACACAUGCAAGUCGAACGGCAGCACAGUAAGAGCUUGCUCUUACGGGUGGCGAGUGGCGGACGGGUGAGGAAUACAUCGGAAUCUACUUUUUCGUGGGGGAUAACGUAGGGAAACUUACGCUAAUACCGCAUACGACCUACGGGGGAAAGCAGGGGAUCUUCGGACCUUGCGCGAUUGAAUGAGCCGAUGUCGGAUUAGCUAGUUGGCGGGGUAAAGGCCCACCAAGGCGACGAUCCGUAGCUGGUCUGAGAGGAUGAUCAGCCACACUGGAACUGAGACAGGGUCCAGACUCCUACGGGAGGGAGCAGUGGGGAAUAUUGGACAAUGGGCGCAAGCCUGAUCCAGCCAUACCGAGUGGGUGACGAAGGCCUUCGGGUUGUAAAGCCCUUUUGUUGGGAAAGAAAAGCAGCAGGUUAAUACCCCGCUGUUCUGACGGUACCCAAAGAAUAAGCACCGGCUAACUUCGUG